RNAcentral lists this ribosomal RNA (253 nucleotides) under uncultured bacterium. Its description in RNAcentral is "partial 16S ribosomal RNA". It matches the Rfam family "Bacterial small subunit ribosomal RNA", at positions 524 to 776 of the family's 1533-position model. The record is from RNAcentral.
GACGUAGGGCGCGAGCGUUGUCCGGAUUUAUUGGGCGUAAAGAGCUCGUAGGCGGCUUGUCGCGUCGUCCGUGAAAACCCACAGCUCAACUGUGGGCUUGCGGUCGAUACGGGCAGGCUAGAGUUCGGUAGGGGAGACUGGAAUUCCUGGUGUAGCGGUGAAAUGCGCAGAUAUCAGGAGGAACACCGAUGGCGAAGGCAGGUCUCUGGGCUGACACUGACGCUCAUGCACGAAAGCGUGGGGAGCAAACAGG